UACGUAGGGGCCGAGCGUUGUCCGGAGUUAUUGGGCGUAAAGCGCGCGCAGGCGGCCUCGCGCGCCCGACGUGAAAGCCCCCGGCUUAACCGGGGAGGGUCGUUGGGGACGGCGCGGCUCGAGUGCCGGAGGGGAGAGUGGAAUUCCUGGUGUAGCGGUGAAAUGCGUAGAUAUCAGGAGGAAUACCGGUGGCGAAAGCGACUCUCUGGACGGCAACUGACGCUGAGGCACGAAAGCGUGGGGAGCAAACAGG
RNAcentral lists this ribosomal RNA (253 nucleotides) under uncultured bacterium. Its description in RNAcentral is "partial 16S ribosomal RNA". It matches the Rfam family "Bacterial small subunit ribosomal RNA", at positions 524 to 776 of the family's 1533-position model. The record is from RNAcentral.